UGAAUUGGGAGAUGAACACAUGCCUAUAUAUGGGUAGUUACCUUGUUAUUUUGACCGGAAAACUAUUGCCUCCAGAAAACAAACAUAUAUUGUGGCAGCAUAAAUACCCUGAAAGAAAGAAUCAAAAUGUUGAAAUAUUUUUUUUUCCUCUGCACCAUAUGAGGCCCAUUCAUCCACCAUGGAAAUUAAGAAAUCAUAGGAAUAGGAUUCACCCUCUUUCAAUUUCAGCUGAAGAUAUGUUGCAGGGUUUUCUGAAACAAAUCUAAAGUUGAGGGAUUUUAUUUUAACAAA
RNAcentral lists this unclassified non-coding RNA (291 nucleotides) under Hevea brasiliensis (rubber tree). The record is from RNAcentral. Lineage: Eukaryota; Viridiplantae; Streptophyta; Magnoliopsida; Malpighiales; Euphorbiaceae.